This 1110-nucleotide long non-coding RNA is filed under the name Capsicum annuum. RNAcentral's name for it is "long non-coding RNA (CANN_LNC007821)". The record is from RNAcentral. Lineage: Eukaryota; Viridiplantae; Streptophyta; Magnoliopsida; Solanales; Solanaceae.
UGGCAUUCCCUGAAUCAAAUAAAAUUUACAACCAGUUUUCAACCUGUUGUUCAAACUUCUCGCUAGAUCGUCAAAUGAUAAAGUAUCCCAUAGAAAAUCUUUAUAUCUUCCACUAUCUACCAAAUUAAAAUAUAGUAGGGGUAUAACCACAAUAUGAACAUUAGAUAAUACAAAAUCCUAUUUGGUACACCCUCGUAAAAAAUAAAGUCGUACCUAUUAGACACACCAUUUAAUCCAGUAACGAUGGCAAAUUUCCUAGGAGUAAAAUUAAGAGAGGUGCCAUUAGCCCGAAUGAUUAUCCCAGAAAAAGAACUACCCUUAACCUCGAGCGUCAUAACACAUCGGCACAAUUGUGCUUGAACUACACAAUGCUUCUUCUUCAUGAAAUAACCAAAAAUGAUAUUGUCACAAAACUUUUUCUACUGUUCCUUGUUUAAUAUGGAGUGUAUGGUUCCAUCAAUAUCAUUAUAACUGUACGAGCAUAUAUGUGGUGCAAAUCUUGAAAGUUUUCUGACAAUGAAUAUUUCGUCACGCAUCACCUAUACAAAGUAAAACUACAACUUCUUAAACUUUAAAAAAAAAUAUUCAAAUAAGCAAAAAAAUACAUAUAACAUGCAUAUAUAUUUUGAUCAGACCAAAAAUACAACUAAUACUGAAAAAUACAUAUCAAGUAUACUAAAAAUACAUAUAGCCAAAAGGCUCUUCAUGAGUAGUUAAUAUAACAAGAUAUUUUCAUAAUUAUACUAUCAGCUUUGUAUUAAAUUUUGCGCUCCUAAUAUCAUCAUAACAUAAAAUACAUAUUAACUACUUGAAAAAAAAUACAUAUAACUCCCAACUUUGAUACUAACAUCUUUACUUAGAGCAAAACAAAAAUUAACAGUCAAUAAUAGAAAAUACAUUUACAACAAAAAAAUACCUCUUCCUCAAUAUCUUCUUCAGAAUCAUCAGCAAAGGAGCUCUGAACAUCGUCAUCAUCCUUACUUAAUUCUUCAAUUUCUUUAGCUUUUCUUUUCUUCACGUAUUUUUAAAUUUUUUGUUCCUUUGGAGAAAGAGUUUUCUUCAACUUUUUUUCUUCUUUCAAAAUUCCAGUCAUCUUCACCGUGUUGUUAC